This 550-nucleotide ribosomal RNA is filed under the name Bifidobacterium longum. RNAcentral's name for it is "bacterial SSU rRNA". It matches the Rfam family "Bacterial small subunit ribosomal RNA", at positions 798 to 1346 of the family's 1533-position model. Lineage: Bacteria; Bacillati; Actinomycetota; Actinomycetes; Bifidobacteriales; Bifidobacteriaceae. The record is from RNAcentral.
CGCCGUAAACGGUGGAUGCUGGAUGUGGGGCCCGUUCCACGGGUUCCGUGUCGGAGCUAACGCGUUAAGCAUCCCGCCUGGGGAGUACGGCCGCAAGGNUAAAACUCAAAGAAANNGACGGGGGCCCGCACAAGCGGCGGAGCAUGCGGAUUAAUUCGAUGCAACGCGAAGAACCUUACCUGGGCUNGACAUGUUCCCGACGGUCGUAGAGAUACGGCUUCCCUUCGGGGCGGGUUCACAGGUGGUGCAUGGUGGUCGUCAGCUCGUGUCGUGAGAUGUUGGGUUAAGUCCCGCAACGAGCGCAACCCUCGCCCCGUGUUGCCAGCGGAUUAUGCCGGGAACUCACGGGGGACCGCCGGGGUUAACUCGGAGGAAGGUGGGGAUGACGUCAGAUCAUCAUGCCCCUUACGUCCAGGGCUUCACGCAUGCUACAAUGGCCGGUACAACGGGAUGCGACGCGGCGACGCGGAGCGGAUCCCUGAAAACCGGUCUCAGUUCGGAUCGCAGUCUGCAACUCGACUGCGUGAAGGCGGAGUCGGUAGUAAUCGCG